This 764-nucleotide ribosomal RNA is filed under the name uncultured bacterium. RNAcentral describes it as "bacterial SSU rRNA". It matches the Rfam family "Bacterial small subunit ribosomal RNA", at positions 37 to 796 of the family's 1533-position model. The record is from RNAcentral.
UGGCGGCAGGCCUAACACAUGCAAGUCGAGCGGUAGAGAGAAGCUUGCUUCUCUUGAGAGCGGCGGACGGGUGAGUAAUGCCUAGGAAUCUGCCUGGUAGUGGGGGAUAACGUUCGGAAACGGACGCUAAUACCGCAUACGUCCUACGGGAGAAAGCAGGGGACCUUCGGGCCUUGCGCUAUCAGAUGAGCCUAGGUCGGAUUAGCUAGUUGGUGAGGUAAUGGCUCACCAAGGCAACGAUCCGUAACUGGUCUGAGAGGAUGAUCAGUCACACUGGAACUGAGACACGGUCCAGACUCCUACGGGAGGCAGCAGUGGGGAAUAUUGGACAAUGGGCGAAAGCCUGAUCCAGCCAUGCCGCGUGUGUGAAGAAGGUCUUCGGAUUGUAAAGCACUUUAAGUUGGGAGGAAGGGUUGUAGAUUAAUACUCUGCAAUUUUGACGUUACCGACAGAAUAAGCACCGGCUAACUCUGUGCCAGCAGCCGCGGUAAUACAGAGGGUGCAAGCGUUAAUCGGAAUUACUGGGCGUAAAGCGCGCGUAGGUGGUUUGUUAAGUUGGAUGUGAAAUCCCCGGGCUCAACCUGGGAACUGCAUUCAAAACUGACUGACUAGAGUAUGGUAGAGGGUGGUGGAAUUUCCUGUGUAGCGGUGAAAUGCGUAGAUAUAGGAAGGAACACCAGUGGCGAAGGCGACCACCUGGACUAAUACUGACACUGAGGUGCGAAAGCGUGGGGAGCAAACAGGAUUAGAUACCCUGGUAGUCC